This 465-nucleotide ribosomal RNA is filed under the name Vreelandella stevensii. Its description in RNAcentral is "partial 16S ribosomal RNA". It matches the Rfam family "Bacterial small subunit ribosomal RNA", at positions 338 to 795 of the family's 1533-position model. The record is from RNAcentral. Lineage: Bacteria; Pseudomonadati; Pseudomonadota; Gammaproteobacteria; Oceanospirillales; Halomonadaceae.
CCUACGGGGGGCUGCAGUGGGGAAUAUUGGACAAUGGGGGGAACCCUGAUCCAGCCAUGCCGCGUGAGUGAAGAAGGCCCUCGGGUUGUAAAGCACUUUCAGUGAGGAAGAACGCCUGGUGGUUAAUACCCAUCAGGAAAGACAUCACUCACAGAAGAAGCACCGGCUAACUCCGUGCCAGCAGCCGCGGUAAUACGGAGGGUGCGAGCGUUAAUCGGAAUUACUGGGCGUAAAGCGCGCGUAGGUGGCUUGAUAAGCCGGUUGUGAAAGCCCCGGGCUCAACCUGGGAACGGCAUCCGGAACUGUCAAGCUAGAGUGCAGGAGAGGAAGGUAGAAUUCCCGGUGUAGCGGUGAAAUGCGUAGAGAUCGGGAGGAAUACCAGUGGCGAAGGCGGCUUUCUGGACUGACACUGACACUGAGGUGCGAAAGCGUGGGUAGCAAACAGGAUUAGAUACCCUGGUAGUC